AUGCCGUCUUUAAAAAUUAGCUAUGAAUACCUCCCUUUUGAUCUGAAGAAAUGCUUUUCCUAUUGUGGCCUUUUCCCUGAAGAUCAUGAGUUUACUUCUUCAGAAAUCAAUCAUCUCUGGGUUUCAAUUGGAAUCAUAGACUCUAAUCAGCAAGCCAAUAGGAAUUACUUGGAAGAACUAGUGGACAAUGGUUUUCUCAUGAAGGUAUUCGAUUUGGGUGAUCGAUCCCCCUAUUUAAUGCAUGAUUUAAUGCAUGAGCUAUCUAAGAGUGUUUCUGCACAAGAAUGCUUCAAUAUAAGUGGCUUAGAUUUCAGAGCUGAUGCCAUCCCGCAAUCUGUUCGACACUUAUCUAUCAACAUAGAAGACAGAUAUGAUGCAAAUUUUGAGGAAGAAAUGUGUAAACUAAGGGAGAGGAUAGAUAUUUCUAAUCUGCGGACUUUGAUGAUUUUUAGAGAAUAUGAAGAAGAAAGAAUCGACAAGAUUUUGAAAGAUAGCUUCAAGGAAAUAAAUAGUCUGCGUGUCCUAUUUAUAGCUGUGAAGUCUGCACAAUCUUUUCCAUACAAGUUUUCGAAACUUAUCCACCUCCAGUACCUGAAAAUUAGUUCAGCUUACAUAAGUGGUGAAAUCAGUUUACCUAGUACACUAUCAAGAUUUUAUCACUUGAAAUUCUUGGACCUAGACUAUUGGUGUGGUAGUUAUGAUUUGCCUGAAGACUUUAGCCACCUUGAGAAUUUACAUGAUUUCCAUGCUGCAAGUGAAAUCCACUCCAAUAUUCGCAGUGUCGGAAAGAUGAAGCAUCUGCAGGAGCUAAAAGAAUUCCAUGUUAAGAAGGAGAGCAUGGGAUUUGAACUGUCAGAACUUGGGGCAUUGACAGAGCUUGAAGGAGGACUGACUAUACGUGGCCUUGAACACGUGGCAACCAAGGAGGAAGCUACUGCAGCCAAACUGAUGUUGAAAAGGAAUCUGGAGGAGUUAGAAUUACUCUGGGGCAUAGAUGGACCAACUAGAGAUGCUGAUAUUCUUGAUGCUCUUCAACCACACUCUAAUCUUAGAGUACUUACAAUUGCAAAUCAUGUUGGUACCAUUGGUCCUAGCUGGUUGUGUCUUGACAUGUGGUUAACAAACUUAGAGAGACUCGCUCUAGAAGGCAUAUCUUGGAGUACCCUCCCACCUUUUGGGAAGCUACCAAAUCUCAAGGGCCUCAAUUUGACGAACAUUUCUGGAAUGCAUCAGUUUGGGCCUCGAUGUGGUGGCGCUCCAGGCAAAUGUUUUAUGCGCUUGAAGACAGUUGAGUUUCAUGACAUGCCAGAACUUGCUGAAUGGGUUGUGGAACCUAAUUGCCAUUCCUUUCCAAGUCUUACAGAAAUCACAUGCAUCAAUUGUCCCAAUCUCUGUGUGAUGCCCUUGUUGGAGGUAUCCUGCACCAAUUUGCACAGACUUGAAGUUUUUCGUUGCCCCAAGGUGUCUCUGCCCUCUAUGCCUCACACCUCCACACUGACAGAUUUGUUUAUUAACACAGGUAAUUCAAGAAGUUUUUACAAAUUUCUGCGAGAUGAUUUAGGGACGUUGUUGUCUUAUGAUGGAAAGAAAUUGGUUGUUAGAGGGUAUGGCGGUGCUUUGGCCUCCCAUAAUCUGGAUAAAGUAGAAGAUAUGAUUGUCGGAAGAUGCGACGGUUUGUUCCCUGAAGAGCUGGAUGGCAGUUUUGUCUUCCAUUCAGUUAAGAGUCUCCAAUUAGAUGUAUCUCAUCUUACCAGCAAAUCAUCUUCAGAAGUAUUAAACUGUUUCCCGGCUCUUUCUGUGUUGAAGAUUGAUGGCUAUGAGGAGGAAUGUGGAAUGCAGUUCCCAUCAUCCAGCUCACUGCAGGAACUUACCUUCUCAGAGUGUACGGGCCUGGUUCUUGUGCCUGUGGAGAAGGAGAAUGGAGGAGGAAUUCAGGAGGACAACUCAUUGCUCCUAAAAUUAAGAAUAGAGUACUGUGGCCAAUUGUUCUGUCGGUGGCCCAUGGGAAAGGGAGAAUCAGAGACCAUUUGCCCUUUCCCUGCUUCCCUGAAGAAACUUGAUGUCGAAGGAGAGACAAGCAUGAAGUCAAUGGCUCUGCUCUCAAACCUCACGUCUCUCACCACUCUAAGGCUAAUAAGAUGCAGAAAGUUAACAGUGGACGGAUUCAAUCCUCUCAUCGCAGUCAACCUCAUACAACUGGAAGUGUGUGGGUGCAACACCAUAGCAGCAGAUAUGCUCUCAGAGGUGGCCAAAUUAUUGCCUGCAGGUUACAUCUCUAGAUUGGAGGUACUCAGGGUGGAUGACAUCUGUGGAUUGCUUGUUGCUCCUAUUUGCAACCUCCUCGCCCCGGCCCUCCACACACUUGAAUUCGAGUCCGAUGAUGAGUGGAUGGAAGGCUUCACGGAAGAGCAAGAGAAAGCGCUGCAGCUCCUCACCUCCCUCCAGAAUCUAACAUUUUUCGACUGCCGGUGUCUGGAGUCCCUUCCUAAAGGGUUACAUCGCCUUUCUUCUCUCAAGGAGUUGCGUGUCGUUGACUGUCAAAGAAUGAUAUCAAUGCCCAAGGAGGGCCUCCCGGUUUCGCUGAGAAAACUAGAGAUGCGUGGUUACUGGGCUCCUUGGCUAGACAAGCAAAUUGAGGAAAUCAAAAGAACCUACCCAGAUUUAUCCGUCACGUAUACCCAAGUUGGCAAACCUGCACAUUAA
This 2703-nucleotide ribosomal RNA is filed under the name Triticum aestivum (bread wheat). RNAcentral's name for it is "partial small subunit ribosomal RNA". The record is from RNAcentral. Lineage: Eukaryota; Viridiplantae; Streptophyta; Magnoliopsida; Poales; Poaceae.